Molecule: small RNA, 577 nt
Filed under: Pongo abelii (Sumatran orangutan)
Lineage: Eukaryota; Metazoa; Chordata; Mammalia; Primates; Hominidae
Description: retained intron
Source: RNAcentral
ACUGUCUUGUUUCAGCCUGUCUGCCAAACUCAAAUUGUUUCAUUGCCAUAUCUGAGCACAUCUUUGGAGCUAAAAUGGUGUGAUUCGGAUGAGAUAUUGCUUAAGACGCUGAGCCCUGCUAGGUGUUUGGUGUGUGAUUCCCAUUGCUCUGGCCAGGCAGUCAUGGGAUUAUUCUUCACCAUUUCCUUUUUUCUAGGUGUACGUGGUUGGGAAUGAACCUUUAACAGUUUUGAUGGAUUCCCUGCUUCCAGUCCUGGGAGUGCUUUUUCUUCUCUACUGUUUUGCUAAGAAGAGUGUGUCUCACAUAAGGUCACUUUGCCAAGAAGUCUUAUUAUGGAUUCUGGGGAAGCUGGAAAGGAAGAAGGCAAUUGCCAGCCUGAAAGGAUUUGCAGGGUUGGACAAAGCUGUGCCCUCUCUCCAUUCUCUGUGUCAGUUUAGAGCUGCCACUCAAGGUGGCAUUAUGAUUACCAUCAAAGAGGCCAUUAGUGAUGAAGAUGAAGAUGAAGCGCUGUACCAGAAGGUAUCCUCAGAGCAGGGCCGGGUGGAGCAUCUCGGGGACUUGCUGUCCCACUGCCAG